Molecule: unclassified non-coding RNA, 222 nt
Filed under: uncultured Pseudochlorella
Lineage: Eukaryota; Viridiplantae; Chlorophyta; Trebouxiophyceae; Chlorellales
Description: partial internal transcribed spacer 2
Source: RNAcentral
CACCCCCUCGUCAACCACUUCCCUUGCGGAAGAGGAAAGACGGAUCUGGCCGUCUCUGUGCUCCUCGAGCGAACAGGGUCGGCUGAAGAACAGAGGCUUGAGCAUGGUCCCGCUGAAAGGGCGCCAGCUUGGUAGGUAGCUCACGCUGCAUGCCGCUGUCACCCCCAGGGACCUGUGCUGUAAAGCCGGCAGGAAUCGGUGGCUCACGCCCAGAACUCUUAC